UACGGGGGGGGCAAGCGUUGUUCGGAAUUACUGGGCGUAAAGCGUGCGCAGGCGGUUUUGUAAGCCAGAUGUGAAAUCCCCGGGCUUAACCUGGGAAUGGCAUUUGGGACUGCAAGGCUCGAGUGCGGCAGAGGAGACUGGAAUUCCUGGUGUAGCGGUGAAAUGCGCAGAUAUCAGGAGGAACACCGGUGGCGAAGGCGGGUCUCUGGGCCGUAACUGACGCUGAGGAGCGAAAGCAUGGGGAGCGAACAGG
RNAcentral lists this ribosomal RNA (253 nucleotides) under uncultured bacterium. RNAcentral describes it as "partial 16S ribosomal RNA". It matches the Rfam family "Bacterial small subunit ribosomal RNA", at positions 524 to 776 of the family's 1533-position model. The record is from RNAcentral.